UACGUAGGGGCUAGCGUUAUCCGGAAUUACUGGGCGUAAAGGGUGCGUAGGUGGUUUCUUAAGUCAGAGGUGAAAGGCUACGGCUCAACCGUAGUAAGCUUUUGGAACUGUAAGACUUGAGUGCAGGAGAGGAUAGUGGAAUUCCUAGUGUAGCGGUGAAAUGCGUAGAUAUUAGGAGGAACACCAGUAGCGAAGGCGGCUCUCUGGACAGAUACUGACGCUGAGGCUCUAAAGUUAGGGGAGCAAACAGGAUUAGAUACCCGUGUAGUCCCUGA
Molecule: ribosomal RNA, 275 nt
Filed under: uncultured prokaryote
Description: partial 16S ribosomal RNA
Rfam family: Bacterial small subunit ribosomal RNA
Source: RNAcentral